CAGUAGCCGCGGUAAUACGUAGGUGGCAAGCGUUGUCCGGAAUUAUUGGGCGUAAAGCGCGCGCAGGUGGUUUAAUAAGUCUGAUGUGAAAGCCCACGGCUCAACCGUGGAGGGUCAUUGGAAACUGUUAAACUUGAGUGCAGAAGGGGAGAGUGGAAUUCCAUGUGUAGCGGUGAAAUGCGUAGAUAUAUGGAGGAACACCGGUGGCGAAAGCGGCUCUCUGGUCUGUAACUGACGCUGAGGAGCGAAAGCGUGGGGAGCGAACAGGAUUAGAUACCCCCGUAGUCCCUGUCUCUUAUAC
Molecule: ribosomal RNA, 301 nt
Filed under: uncultured bacterium
Lineage: Bacteria
Description: partial 16S ribosomal RNA
Rfam family: Bacterial small subunit ribosomal RNA
Source: RNAcentral